Molecule: small RNA, 379 nt
Filed under: Pan troglodytes (chimpanzee)
Lineage: Eukaryota; Metazoa; Chordata; Mammalia; Primates; Hominidae
Description: processed transcript
Source: RNAcentral
ACCCCACCAUAUGGAUUUUUUUCCUUAAGAAAAUCUCCUUUUAGGAGAUCAUGGUGUCACAGUGUUUGGUUCUUUUGUUUUGUUUUUUAACACUUGUCUCCCCUCAUAUACAAAAGUACAAUAUGAAGCCUUCAUUUAAUCUCUGCAGUUCAUCUCAUUUCAAAUGUUUAUGGAAGAAGCACUUCAUUGAAAGUAGUGCUGUAAAUAUUCUGCCAUAGGAAUACUGUCUACAUGCUUUCUCAUUCAAGAAUUCGUCAUCACGCAUCACAGGCCGCGUCUUUGACGCACUUGCACUAUUACUCAGCAGCAGUAACAUGGUAACACUUAAAAUGGUACUCGGGGACCUCCAAAGACUAAACUGACAAGCCUUCAAGGAGCC